Molecule: ribosomal RNA, 253 nt
Filed under: uncultured bacterium
Lineage: Bacteria
Description: partial 16S ribosomal RNA
Rfam family: Bacterial small subunit ribosomal RNA
Source: RNAcentral
UACGAAGGGGGCUAGCGUUGCUCGGAAUCACUGGGCGUAAAGGGUGCGUAGGCGGGUCUUUAAGUCAGGGGUGAAAUCCUGGAGCUCAACUCCAGAACUGCCUUUGAUACUGAAGAUCUUGAGUUCGGGAGAGGUGAGUGGAACUGCGAGUGUAGAGGUGAAAUUCGUAGAUAUUCGCAAGAACACCAGUGGCGGAGGCGGCUCACUGGCCCGAUACUGACGCUGAGGCACGAAAGCGUGGGGAGCAAACAGG